This is a long non-coding RNA of Cyprinus carpio carpio, 2355 nucleotides long. NCBI's taxonomy places the organism in Eukaryota, Metazoa, Chordata, Actinopteri, Cypriniformes, Cyprinidae. The record is from Ensembl.
AGAUUUUUCUCAUUCCCUGCCUGUGUGUAUGUAUAUAUAUUAGUAUACGACUGUCUGUCUUUUAAUAAGUGUUAAAAGAGGAAAAGUUUUUACGACCCUUACCAAACUUAAUAAACGUUACAUACACACUCCAAAACAGGACAUACACAGUAAAAAGGUUGAGUUUUAACCUGAUGAGGAUUUUUAUCUUUGUAUUUGAAUGUGAUUAUAUGAGAGAGUGUUUAUUUGUAGAUCCUAGAUGGAUCUGAUGGUGAAAUUUCAUGCGACCAGUUAGAUGCUGAGUGUUUGCAUGUGCAUGUAGACGUAUAGGAACAAGUGUGUGUAUUUGUGUGUGUUAGAGGGUGGGUGUACCAGUGCAUGUCAGACAGCAAAGAGCCACAGUUAUAUAGGAAUCUCAGCCAAAAGAGCCUCACAAACAGAAGAGAGCAUACAGGACAGUGAGAGAUAGAGAAGAUCAAAUAAAAGAGAAAAACAGGAGAGACUCUGAUGAGCACAUACAGUAGUGAGAAAGAAAGAUAAUGUGUAGGACUUGAUAGACUGCAGAUGAUACUGAUCUGAACACCUAGAGAAAAUCCUAUUGAAGAUAAGUAGUAUAAAGUAGAUACCGGUAGAAUAGAUAGAGAAAUAGACAAGGAAGAGGUACAUACUAUCUCUUUGAGCUUGUGUGUUGUCCUGAGCAGCAUGCGUGUGUGUGUGUGUGUGUGUGUGUGUGUGUGUGUGUGUGUGUGUGUGUGUUUUUGCCCUUGCUUUUGCUGGAAGCGUACAUGAUGUGUGUCCGUGUGCUUUGUCAGAGGGACAUCCUGGUGGCUGGGCCACCCAACGGCAGAUGUGAGGGAAGCUGCAGUGCAACAGAAUUACCCCCUAAAAUACAUCACACUCACUCUCAGGAUUCACAAGUUAGAAAGACUCCAGAGAACCACAAAAACACACAGCCCGUGUGUGACAUGGUUUCAGCUGGUGGGGGAUGAGCGGUGUUGAUGAACAAACUGACUUUAAACCGAACCUGGCAGGAGUACCUUGAUGGAUUCGGCUCCCCGCAGACAGAGAACUGGUUAGGGAAUGCAGUUCUGCACUAACCGCCAAUGGGCAUCACACGCUCCGUAUCACUCUCCAAGACUGGGAUGAACAGACACGUCAUGCUAACUAUAACAACUUUAAAGUGGCAGUAGUAAACCAGAGGUAUAUACACACAUAGUCAUACUAGUAUCUGGUGUAAGACUAGUGUCAAAGCAGAGUCUCAACAAACCUGUAUAAAAUAGGCCUAGUUCAGUUUCUUAUUAUGAUGCAUGUGUGAUAUUCUCUCCAUAAGGUUCUGCCUAACUGCUUGAGAUUACCAUGACGAUGCUGGCAAACAGUACAACCACGAUGGCAGAGUUUUCAGCACAUUUGUAACUGUGGCCAUUAUUAUGGUGCAGGCUGGUGGUUUGAUUCCUGUUUGGUCACUUACAUCAAUGGGCACUACUAUCAUGGGCAUUACAGUGGCAUCACGGAUGGCAUCUACUGGGGCACCUGGUAUAUCCUAACUGACUAUCACACAGGGGAAAGAUACUCAUUUAAGAGUGUUGAAAUGAAAACUAGACCAAAGCGGAGUUAAGGAAAACUUUUUUUUAAAUGACAAAUCCUUGUCAUGUAAUCAUACUCUUGCACUAUUUCAUUGUAGUAUUUCAUUUCAAUAAUGGGUUGUAAUUAUAUAACCUUGACCUGCCAUUAAACUUGAGAUUUUUAGAUAAUUGUAUGAUAUGAGAACAUAUUUAUAAACAUUUGUUCUAAAAUAAAUGUCAUAUUUUAAGCACUCUUUUACUCAGCAUAUAUAAUACAUUUUCAGUUACAGCUGCUCUUUUAAGACACAAAUGAACUAUUAAGCUUUUCAUGCUGCAAAUACAAUUUUUUUUUUUACAUGGUCUUUAUUUAUUUUCCAAAUGUGUGUUACUGAUCUUGUUGUGAACAAUUCAUCUGUAUAUAUGUUUAUUUUCUUAAUCUCAUAAUUCUUAAAAUAUCAUGACUGAAUCUUCCAGUGAAACAACAGGUGACGCAUGCAAUUAUUCUCCAAUCAUUUAAUCUGCUUAAAUCCCACCCCUUUCUUAUAAUUGACUACAGAAAAAAAAGAUGUUGCUGCUUUCUUUUAUUGUGAAGCUUAUUAAACAGUUCUCUAGAAUACUUUCACCCAAAUUCUUCUCUUGAAUGUUCUGCCAGUCAACUGAUUUACGACCGUGCAAAUUUUAAACGUUAAUUUCAGGGUCCUGAUCACCCCAUCAGAGUUUCUUCUGCUAUAAUGACCGGCUGACUGUAUUUUAUCUUUAUAGCUAAAAUCAUUCAUAAUGCAGAAAGGUCAAAGUUCAACAGGUCUAAGAUGGC